GGAGCUGGCCGGGCAAUCGCCGUACCGGGCGGGCCUUGUCGGCGACGAUAGAGGUUCGGUGCCGGUGCGGAGGAAAGUCCGGGCUCCACAGGGCAGGGUGCCAGGUAACGCCUGGGGGACGCGAGUCCACGGAAAGUGCCACAGAAAAUACACCGCCCGCUUUUUCCCCAAUGCCAGGCAAACGGGGGAGAGGCAGGUAAGGGUGAAAAGGUGCGGUAAGAGCGCACCGCGCCCCAGGUAACUGGGGUGGCAGGGUAAACCCCACCCGGAGCAAGACCAAAUAAGGGGCGAGAUUGCGCCUUUGCGCGUAGUCCGGGCGUGGCCCGCGCCGGCCCCGGGUAGGUCGCUAGAGGCGUGUGGCGACAUACGCCGAAGAUGAAUGAUUGUCCUCGACAGAACCCGGCUUACAGGCCGGCUCCCGUA
RNAcentral lists this RNase P RNA (423 nucleotides) under Candidatus Kentrum sp. G. RNAcentral's name for it is "Candidatus Kentron sp. G Bacterial RNase P class A". It matches the Rfam family "Bacterial RNase P class A". From Rfam's summary of the family: Ribonuclease P (RNase P) is a ubiquitous endoribonuclease, found in archaea, bacteria and eukarya as well as chloroplasts and mitochondria. Its best characterised activity is the generation of mature 5'-ends of tRNAs by cleaving the 5'-leader elements of precursor-tRNAs. Cellular RNase Ps are ribonucleoproteins. The record is from RNAcentral. Lineage: Bacteria; Pseudomonadati; Pseudomonadota; Gammaproteobacteria.